CAAAUUCCACUGUCGAACAGCUCUUACUGUCAGGAAGUUCUUCCUAAUGUUUAGGUGGAAUCUUCUUUCUUGUACUUUGGAUCCAUUGCUCCGUGUCCGCUUCUCUGGAGCAGCAGAAAACAACCUUUCUCCCUCCUCUAUGUGACAUCCUUUUAUAUAUUUGAACAUGGCUAUCAUAUCACCCCUUAACCUCCUCUUCUCCAGGCUAAACAUGCCCAGCUCUCUUAGCCGUUCCUCAUAAGGCAUCGUUUCCAGGCCUUUGACCAUUUUGGUUGCCCUCCUCUGGACACGUUCCAGUUUGUCAGUGUCCUUCUUGAACUGUGGUGCCCAGAACUGGACACAGUACUCCAGGUGAGGUCUGACCAGAGCAGAAUACAGUGGCACUAUUACUUCCCUUGAUCUAGAUGCUAUACUCCUAUUGAUGCAGCCCAGAAUUGCAUUGGCUUUUUAGCUGCCGCGUCACACUGUUGGCUCAUGUCAAGUUUGUGGUCAACCAAGACUCCUAGAUCCUUUUCACAUGUACUGCUCUCAAGCCAGGUGUCCCCCAUCUUGUAUUUGUGCCUCUCAUUUUUUUGCCCAAGUGCAAUACUUUACAUUUCUCCCUGUUAAAAUUCAUCUUGUUUCUUUUGGCCCAGUUCUCUAAUCUGUCAAGGUCGUUUUGAAGUGUGAUCCUGUCCUCUGGGGUGUUAGCCACCCCUCCCAAUUUGGUGUCAUCUGCAAAUUUGAUCAGGAUGCCCUUGAGUCCAUCAUCCAAGUCGUUGAUAAAGAUGUUGAAUAAGACCGGGCCCAAGACAGAACCCUGUGGCACCCCACUAGUCACUCUUCUCCAGGAUGAAGAGGAACCAUUGAUGAGCACCCUUUGGGUUCGGUCAGUCAGCCAGUUACAAAUCCACUGAGUGGUAGCAUAGUCAAGACCACAUUUUACCAGCUUCUUUACAAGAAUAUUAUGAGGCACCUUGUCAAAUGCCUUGCUGAAAUCAAGGUAGGCUACAUCCACUGCGUUCCCUUCAUCUAGCAGGCUUGUAAUUCUGUCAAAAAACGAGAUCAGGUUAGUCUGACAUGACUUAUUUUUCAGAAAUCCAUGCUGACUAUUGGUGAUCACAGCAUUCCUUUCUAGGUGCUCACAGACUGUUUGCUUAAUGAUCUGCUCCAGAAUCUUCCCUGGUAUUGAUGUCAGACUGACUGGGCGGUAAUUAUUUGGGUCCUCUCUUUUCCCCUUUUUGAAAAUAGGGACAACAUUUGCCCUCCUCCAGUCUGCCGGGACUUCGCCUGUUCUCCAGGAAUUCUCAAAGAUGACUGCCAGUGGUUCUGAGAUCACAUCUGCCAGUUCUUUUAAUACUCUUGGAUGCAGUUCAUCUGGCCCUGG
Molecule: long non-coding RNA, 1366 nt
Filed under: Podarcis lilfordi (Lilford's wall lizard)
Lineage: Eukaryota; Metazoa; Chordata; Lepidosauria; Squamata; Lacertidae
Source: RNAcentral